GCUUACGGCCACACCACCCUGAGCGCGCCCGAUCUCGUCUGAUCUCGGAAGCUAAGCAGGGUCGGGCCUGGUUAGUACUUGGAUGGGAGACCGCCUGGGAAUACCAGGUGCCGCUUUGCU
RNAcentral lists this ribosomal RNA (120 nucleotides) under Lates calcarifer (barramundi perch). Lineage: Eukaryota; Metazoa; Chordata; Actinopteri; Centropomidae. The record is from RNAcentral.